GAACUGCGAUAAGUAAUGUGAAUUGCAGAAUUCCGUGAAUCAUCGAAUCUUUGAACGCACAUUGCGCCCCCUGGCAUUCCGGGGGGCAUGCCUGUCCGAGCGUCAUUGCUGCCCUUCAAGCCCGGCUUGUGUGUUGGGUCGUCGUCCCCUCCGGGGGACGGGCCCGAAAGGCAGCGGCGGCACCGCGUCCGGUCCUCGAGCGUAUGGGGCUUUGUCACCCGCUCGAUAAGGACCGGCCGGGCGCCAGCCGGCGUCUCCAACCUUUUUUUCUCAGGUUGACCUCGGAUCAGGUAGGGAUACCCGCUGAACUUAAGC
Molecule: unclassified non-coding RNA, 315 nt
Filed under: plant metagenome
Description: partial contains 5.8S ribosomal RNA, internal transcribed spacer 2, and large subunit ribosomal RNA
Rfam family: 5.8S ribosomal RNA (bases 1-105)
Source: RNAcentral